AGUCGUCACGGCGACUAUAAAAAAGGACUUUAAGCCGUGAGCGUGUCGGCGGUUCUGCUGCCGGCGGUAG
This 70-nucleotide ribozyme is filed under the name bovine gut metagenome. RNAcentral describes it as "Pistol ribozyme". It matches the Rfam family "Pistol ribozyme". The record is from RNAcentral.